This 198-nucleotide ribosomal RNA is filed under the name uncultured bacterium. RNAcentral's name for it is "partial 16S ribosomal RNA". It matches the Rfam family "Bacterial small subunit ribosomal RNA", at positions 1294 to 1500 of the family's 1533-position model. The record is from RNAcentral.
CGGACUGCAGGCUGCAACCCGCCUGCACGAAGCCGGAGUUGCUAGUAAUCGCGAAUCAGAAUGUCGCGGUGAAUGCGUUCCCGGGUCUUGUACACACCGCCCGUCACACCAUGGAAGUUGGGGGGUGCCCAAAGCCGGCAAGCAAAUAUGCUGUCUAAGGCAAAACCAAUGACUGGGAUGAAGUCGUAACAAGGUACC